Molecule: ribosomal RNA, 580 nt
Filed under: Achromobacter piechaudii
Lineage: Bacteria; Pseudomonadati; Pseudomonadota; Betaproteobacteria; Burkholderiales; Alcaligenaceae
Description: bacterial SSU rRNA
Rfam family: Bacterial small subunit ribosomal RNA
Source: RNAcentral
CUGAAAAGCGAUCCAUGCAGUCGACGGCAGCACGGACUUCGGUCUGGUGGCGAGUGGCGAACGGGUGAGUACUGUAUCGGAACGUGCCUAGUAGCGGGGGAUAACUACGCGAAAGCGUAGCUAAUACCGCAUACGCCCUACGGGGGAAAGCAGGGGAUCGCAAGACCUUGCACUAUUAGAGCGGCCGAUAUCGGAUUAGCUAGUUGGUGGGGUAACGGCUCACCAAGGCGACGAUCCGUAGCUGGUUUGAGAGGACGACCAGCCACACUGGGACUGAGACACGGCCCAGACUCCUACGGGAGGCAGCAGUGGGGAAUUUUGGACAAUGGGGGAAACCCUGAUCCAGCCAUCCCGCGUGUGCGAUGAAGGCCUUCGGGUUGUAAAGCACUUUUGGCAGGAAAGAAACGUUCCGGGUUAAUACCCCGGGAAACUGACGGUACCUGCAGAAUAAGCACCGGCUAACUACGUGCCAGCAGCCGCGGUAAUACGUAGGGUGCAAGCGUUAAUCGGAAUUACUGGGCGUAAAGCGUGCGCAGGCGGUUCGGAAAGAAAGAUGUGAAAUCCCAGAGCUUAACUUUGG